ACACGCAUGGUGAAGCGGUUAUCAUGCUUGCCUUCCAGUUGAGGCGAUUUCCGCUAACCGUUAGCAAGCGGCAGGGGUUCGACUCCCCUUGCGUGUA
Molecule: non-coding RNA, 97 nt
Organism: Mycena amicta
Lineage: Eukaryota; Fungi; Basidiomycota; Agaricomycetes; Agaricales; Mycenaceae
Source: the annotation of a GenBank genome assembly